UGCGGGGUAGAGCAGUGGUAGCUCGUCGGGCUCAUAACCCGGAGGUCGUCGGUUCGAAUCCUUCCCCCGCUACCA
Molecule: transfer RNA, 75 nt
Filed under: Bacteroidales bacterium
Lineage: Bacteria; Pseudomonadati; Bacteroidota; Bacteroidia; Bacteroidales
Also listed under: 2 other names
Description: tRNA-Met
Rfam family: tRNA
About the family: Transfer RNA (tRNA) molecules are approximately 80 nucleotides in length. Their secondary structure includes four short double-helical elements and three loops (D, anti-codon, and T loops).
Source: RNAcentral